Molecule: transfer RNA, 71 nt
Filed under: Loxodonta africana (African savanna elephant)
Lineage: Eukaryota; Metazoa; Chordata; Mammalia; Proboscidea; Elephantidae
Rfam family: tRNA
About the family: Transfer RNA (tRNA) molecules are approximately 80 nucleotides in length.
Source: Rfam by way of RNAcentral
GCUCUGGUGGCAAAAUGGUUAAGUGCUCGGCUGCUAAUCAAAGGUUGGUGGUUCAAACCCACCCAGCAGCU